This 723-nucleotide ribosomal RNA is filed under the name Triticum aestivum (bread wheat). Its description in RNAcentral is "partial small subunit ribosomal RNA". The record is from RNAcentral. Lineage: Eukaryota; Viridiplantae; Streptophyta; Magnoliopsida; Poales; Poaceae.
AUGCCUUCCUGGAACGACGAGGAAACGAGCUCCGACGAGGACUGCGAGGUCGUCAGCAUGGACAUGGGACUGAUGGAGGAACCAGACACCAUUGUGGAGCCCCUUUUCUGUGGCCAACUUGAGCUUGCUGAACCCAAGUGCAUUCUCCAUCAAAUGAGGCCUGUUAAGCGUGUUGCUUUUGAAGGCAUUGAAAAUGGUGUGAAUUGUGGUGUUAUAGAGUGGGUUGAUGGGCCUUGGCCUCCAGUUCUUCAGAGAUGUUUGUCCAAGCUAUGGGAAAUGUUCCAUGAGCAGAACUGUGGAAGGGUACUUGACAAAGAUAAGUUUGAGAAGGAGUUGGCCAAGGUUAAGAGUGAACAUGAAAGGGAGUUGGCCAAGCUUAAGAUGGAAAAUGACAAUCUGUGCAUUGAGUACACCAAGCUUGUUGAUGAUGUAUCCAAGAUGUUUGACUGGCGGGAUGGUAGGGUGGACAAGAAUGUGCACCAGAAACAAGUGGAGGAGGAACAACUUGAGAAGAAGAAGAAGGAGCUAGAGGAGAAAGCUGUGUUGGAGGUGCAUAUGGAAAAGCUUAAACUUGCAAAAGAGCAAAGGAAGGAAGUUCAAGUUGACAGAGAUGCUCUUAUGAAGGAGAAGGAAAAGCUUGAGCUAGUUGUUGCUGAGCUGCUGAAAGAUGGGUUUGGCAGCAAGGAGAAGUUAAAGCAAAUCAAGGCCAUCCUUGAGUCCUGA